Molecule: long non-coding RNA, 417 nt
Filed under: Brachypodium distachyon (stiff brome)
Lineage: Eukaryota; Viridiplantae; Streptophyta; Magnoliopsida; Poales; Poaceae
Description: long non-coding RNA (BDIS_LNC001706)
Source: RNAcentral
AAUUACUACACUCUAGUUUAUCCCCGUCAUACAAUUUCAUUUGGCGCAAUAAACAAGGAUAAAUGAUGCAUUCUUCUCAUAAAAAUUUAAGCUUCCUAAAAUUUGGGCGAAAUAGUCCAACUCAAUUCAAUAUGGCAAGAAACACAACUAACUGACUAAGUAUUAAUUAAUUCUCAUGAUGCUUUUCUUAUGUAGAUUCUUGAACAAGGGGCUAUCCGAUUUCAACUUGGCGCUGGACCUCGGGUUCUUGACAAAGGCUAGGAAGUACACCUUCUUCAAGCCCAAGUUCAUCUUCUACGCCACCUACCUGUCGGAGAAGAUCGGGUACUGGAGGUAUAUCACCAUCUUCAGGCACCUCAAGGCGAACCCGGAGUAUCAGGUGUACCCCAUCUUCAAGUACUUCGAGAACUGGUGCCA